This 72-nucleotide transfer RNA is filed under the name Nocardiopsis alborubida. Its description in RNAcentral is "tRNA-Pro". It matches the Rfam family "tRNA". Rfam says of the family: Transfer RNA (tRNA) molecules are approximately 80 nucleotides in length. Their secondary structure includes four short double-helical elements and three loops (D, anti-codon, and T loops). The record is from RNAcentral. Lineage: Bacteria; Bacillati; Actinomycetota; Actinomycetes; Streptosporangiales; Nocardiopsidaceae.
CGACGUGUAGCUCAACAGCAGAGCACCCGGCUCGGGACCGGGAGGGUGCGGGGGCAGGUCCCGCCACGUCGG